Molecule: long non-coding RNA, 1535 nt
Organism: Corythoichthys intestinalis (scribbled pipefish)
Lineage: Eukaryota; Metazoa; Chordata; Actinopteri; Syngnathiformes; Syngnathidae
Exons: 3
Source: RefSeq, a predicted model, not a curated record
UUUAAAUUAAUCACAUUAAAAUAUUUGACACAAUAAACACACAUGCCCUGCUCAAACAGAUUAAAAUGACAGCACAGGCUCGUGUGCACUUGUUACUUGUGUUUCUUGGAGUUUUGUCACCCUCUGGUGGCGCUUGGGUGCGACUGAUUUUAUGGGUUCAGCACCAUAAGAAUUGUGUAAUUCUCCAUCGACAAUGGCGUGCUACUAGUUUAUUUUUUUGAUUUAAUAAAAUUGGUAAAAUUUUCAAACGAAAACAUUAAGAGGGGUUUUAAUAUAAAAUUUCUAUAACUUGUACUAACAUUUAUCUUUUAAGAACUACAAGUCUUUCUAUCCAUGAAUCGCUUUAACACGAUGUUAAUGCCAUCUUGAUUUAUUGUUAUAAUAAACAAAUACAGUACUUAGGUACAGAAUGUCUAAUGUAUAUAUCCGUCUUGUGUCCUAUCUUUCCAUUCCGACAAUAAUUUCCAGAAAAAUAUGGCAUAUUUCAUAGAUGGUUUUAUUAAUUACGAUUAAUUUUUAAGCUGUGAUUAACUUGAUUAAAAUUGUAAUCGUUUGACAGCCCUUUUUUUAAUGUAUUUUUUGUUUGCUCUAUUUUUGUUUAAAUAUUCGUAUAUAUAAUCAUCAAAUUAUUUUUAAUCAAGAACACAUCAAGAGCAAAGUAGAAAAAUACUUGUCUUUAUUAAAUUAAUUAGUGAAUCCACUCAAAUACGCUCAAGCUGCUCGCUUACAAUGACUUGCCAAAGCAACUGUUUAACAAGUUAAACGACAAUUGACUAAUGUGGCGCUCUGAAGUUUCCGCUUCCCGGCAUCCCUGGCAAGAUCAAACCUUAACGACUGUCAAUCAUCGUUAACUUUAAUAAGCCACUCCAGUGCACUGCCUGACCAAAAUAAGGAGCCGGAGGGAGAGUGAGACUAUGUGAUCGGAUCGGGACAGCUCAUCGGUUGACUCCAUGACGUAGGUGGGCUUUUUCAUCAGAUAAGUUGGCUCUGUUGACAACGAGUGGACAGCUGCCAAAUAAGCGCUACCUGUGCCAAGAGUCACAUUUUGGAACAAUUAGGCCUACAGCAAUGAAAGGUGUACGAUGGCAGCGAACGCAGUACAGCAAUACCGCGCUUGCUGUCUGCUGCCACGUCAGAUGUGGUAUUUGUGAAGUGACACACUUCUCACAGGCACCUUGUCAUGUGUAUGUAUGUACAUGUUAGUUUUUUUUCUUUUUUUAACCUAUCCUGUACUGCUGCUUGGGUGCGUGGGAAUUUGAGUGCCCUUAGCCGAACAGUUUUAAUGUGCCACGUAGGAGUUGGAUAUAGGCACGCAUCUUCCCCCACAGCUCCGGCAAAUGGGCCGCCUCCAUCCCACCAGACCCGCUAGUUGUCCGUGGAGGUCCCGCUGCAGUACCCCCACAACCAAUUAGGCCCGAGGCAGGAGUUGAACCCAGGGGCUCACAUACACACAUGCAGUGCUGGCCGAAAGUAUUGGCAACUAAUCCCUGCAAUUCUGUCUGAUAAUCCUCGAUUUUCCCCCAGAAAAUGCGAUU